Chenopodium quinoa (quinoa) is the source of this 1635-nucleotide long non-coding RNA. RefSeq lists it as uncharacterized. The record is from RefSeq and is a predicted model, not a curated record. Lineage: Eukaryota; Viridiplantae; Streptophyta; Magnoliopsida; Caryophyllales; Amaranthaceae. The transcript is spliced from 5 exons.
CAGCAUCAAUUAGACGGUCAAGGAGAGAGAUUGGAAUCCCAUGGUUGAUUACUUGAAAGAAACCGAACUUAGCCGAGCCAUCUCGCAGCUGCUGCACCAGAUCCUUGUGCUCGCCAGAGAGGUCAAUAACAGGUGAUACCAACUCCGGCAAAGGCCCAUAGAGAUUCUCAUAAAUGCCUGGGCUUAAGAAGAAUGCAAUUGAUACUCGUGGUUUGAGGAAAGGAUUAGCAUAUACACGAUGUUCUCCGCUCUUGUAUUCAUCAUUUGAUAUUAUCUACAUGAAUCAAAAUGCAAGGAGUAAGCUUUGUAAAGCAGAAAGCAUUCUGAGUAUAUAUGAUACAUCAUGGAUUUUACUGGGAUCGACAGGGAUGGGAGCAAGACGAAUUGCAAGUGUAUCUCGCCAGCUUGCAGCUUUUGAUUGGAACAAGUCAUAGUUGGAGUAAAACCCCACUCCACUGCCUGCAGUGACUGUUUCGCGACGAUAAAGCUGCAUCUUCUCCUCUGCCUGCAGCUCAUGGAAGGCCUUAAUAGCAUCAAGCAGACGGUCCAGAAGGGAGACUGAUAUCCCAUGAUUGAUCACCUGAAAGAACCCAAACUUAGCUGAGGCAUCUCGCAGCUGCUUUACCACUUCCUCGUGCUUACCCGAGAGGUCAAUGACAGGAAAAAUGGUGAUUUGCGGAUGUGGCUUUCCUUGUGCUAAGAGAACAUCCUGGACUCAUGAGAAUCCAGGAAGAAGGUUCGAAGCUUGCAGAGGAGAGAGAGAGAAAGGCGAAUUGAUGUGAUUGAAUUACAGAGCAUUCAUGGAAGCCAAAGAAGAGAGAGAAGAGAGUGGAGUUGGAGGGAAAAAAUGAGGGGAGAUAAAAAGGUGGAGUGCAAAUAAUAAAAUUUGGGUGCAAGUGGGGAAAAUAAGAGAGUCAACGUCGGGAAAUUGGAGUCAACGCCUGAAAAGUGGUCUCAGAGAUGAGGAUUCGGUGAUAAAGUUAUUUUAAAGCAGAAGAAUUUAGGUGACAAUGAAGAGAAAAUGUCAACACUAAAAGAAGGUCAAUGAUGAGAAUCUGGAAGGUAGUUCCUUUCCAAAACAAUAAUUUCUAUGGUAAUUUCUUUUCUUUUUGUAUGUGUUAAUUUAAGAAACAUUAUGUACAAUUCUUAGAAUAAAAUCCCACUCCACUUCCAGUGGUGAUCGUAUCUCGGGGAUAAACUUGCAUCUUAUUGACAUCUCAUGGUUGAUUACUUGAAAGAACCAGAACUUAGCUAAGGCAUCUUGCAGUGUUGCAGCUGCUGCAUCAGAUCCUCGUGUUCACCAGAGAGAGAUCAAUGACAGCAUUAUUGACAAGUAUGGUCAGGUCAUUACUUGGGCUGGGUUGUUGAAGCUAAUGAACAAAAGAGUCUUAUGUGGGUAGUGGAAAAUUCAUGCUGUGUGUCUAUGUCUGUGAGUCAAUAAGUCCUUUACUCCGAGUUUGAUGUCAUCAAAUUCUAGUAGAUCUUUAGGGGAUAUUCAUCUCUUGCAGCUUCCUGCUAGUUGUCAUCUGUAAUAAGUCGUAUAUUUUUGGGGAAUGAAUGGUUUCACAAAGACCAAGAGUUUUGUAUUAUCUACUCUCUAUUGAUAUGAAUUUUCAAACCAGAAUUAUGAAGCAA